RNAcentral lists this transfer RNA (67 nucleotides) under Howea angulata. RNAcentral's name for it is "tRNA-Tyr". Lineage: Eukaryota; Metazoa; Arthropoda; Insecta; Coleoptera; Cerambycidae. The record is from RNAcentral.
GGUUAAGUGACCGAGAUAUAGGUAAUAAAUUGUAAAUUUAUGUACGAAAUGAAAAUUUCCUUUACCA